CCUACGGGAGGCUGCAGUGGGGAAUAUUGCACAAUGGGGGAAACCCUGAUGCAGCGACGCCGCGUGAGUGAAGAAGUAAUUCGUUAUGUAAAGCCCUAUCAGCAGGGAAGAAAAUGACGGUACCUGAGUAAGAAGCCCCGGCUAACUACGUGCCAGCAGCCGCGGUAAUACGUAGGGGGCAAGCGUUAUCCGGAUUUACUGGGUGUAAAGGGAGCGUAGACGGCAGUGCAAGUCUGGAGUGAAAGGCGGGGGGUCAACCCCCGGACUGCUCUGGAAACUGUACGGCUGGAGUGCAGGAGAGGUAAGUGGAAUGCCUGGUGUAGCGGUGAAAUGCGUAGAUAUUAGGAGGAACACCAGUGGCGAAGGCGGCUUACUGGACUGUAACUGACGUUGAGGCUCGAAAGCGUGGGGAGCAAACAGGAUUAGAUACCCUUGUAGUC
RNAcentral lists this ribosomal RNA (440 nucleotides) under uncultured bacterium. RNAcentral describes it as "partial 16S ribosomal RNA". It matches the Rfam family "Bacterial small subunit ribosomal RNA", at positions 338 to 795 of the family's 1533-position model. The record is from RNAcentral.